Pipistrellus kuhlii (Kuhl's pipistrelle) is the source of this 2322-nucleotide RNA transcript. It is a transcript of the gene named cyclin-G1-like, with no coding region annotated. The record is from RefSeq and is a predicted model, not a curated record. The transcript has a single exon. Lineage: Eukaryota; Metazoa; Chordata; Mammalia; Chiroptera; Vespertilionidae.
CCUGAAAAGGGCAGUGUCCUCUCGCCAGCGCUGCGGAGACCUCCACCCCAGGACAGCUCCUCCUCCCCCAGCUGGUCCCCUCUUGCCCGCGAGUCCCCUUGCCUCUAGGACUUGUCAGAUCUGACAUUGUGGGCGGAGGUGCGGGCAGGCCCGGGGGAGGAGAGAUUAUAGCGAAGGAGCCUCAUUCCCGAUCAAGAUGAUAGAGGUCCUCACAACAACUGACACUCAGAAACUGCUAAACCAGCUGAACGCCUGUUGGAACAGGAGCCGAAAUGCCAGCCAAAGGUCUGUGGCCUGAGACUCAUUGAAUCCACUUAUGAAAAGGCCUCAGGAUGACUGACUGCAAGACUAAGGGACUUUGAAGUGAAGGAUCUCCUUAGUCUAACUCAGUUCUUCGGCUUUGACACAGAGACAUUUUCUCUAGCUGUGAAUUUACUGGACACAUUCCUGUCCAAAAUGAAGGUACAAUCCAAGCACCUUGGGUGUGUUGGACUAAGCUGCUUCUACCUGGCAGUAAAAUCAAUAGAAGAGGAAAGGAAUGUCCCAUUGGCAAGUGACUUGAUACGAAUAAGCCAGUACAGGUUCACAGUUUCAGACCUGAUGAGGAUGGAGAAGAUUGUCUUGGAGAAAGUGUGCUGGAAAGUGAAAGCUUCUACUGCUUUUCAAUUUCUGCUACUCUAUAAUUCACUCAUUCAAGAGAAUUUACCAUUUGAAAGAAGGAUUAGCCUUAAUUUUGAAAGAUUAGAAGCUCAACUUAAGGCAUGCCACUGCAGGAUCCUAUUUUCUAAAACAAGGCCUUCUGUGUUGGCAUUGCCUAUCAUUGCACUGGAGAUCCAAGCACAGAAGUGUGUAGAGUUAACAGAAGUCGUAGAAUGUCUUCAGAGACAUUCCAAGAUAAAUGGCAGAGAUUUGACCUUCUGGCAAGAACUCGUAUCCAAGUGUUUAACUGAAUAUUCAUCAAACAAGUGCUCCAAACCAAAUGUUCAGAAGUUGAAAUGGAUUGUUUCUGGGCAAACUGCAUGGCAAUUGAAGCAUAGUUACUACAGAAUAACCCACCUUCCAACAAUUCCUGAAAUGGUUCCUUAAUUGGGUUAUUCCAGCAACAAAAACUUCUCUGAAGCCUUUCACCACAAUUCUGAAGGAUGGAUUCCAUACUGUUAUAGUGGAUUUAAGCUGUAAAUUCUCAAAACAUCAUAACUGGAUUAGUAUUGAUGUUCUCAGAUUUGGGAAAACUGCCUAAUUAACAUUAUGCCACAGUGGAAUCAUGCUUAAAUUUGAAUUCAGCUGAGGCAUACAAACAAAGCCAAGUCCAUAAUGUGAAAUGUUAAAGAAAAGUCUGGGAAGGUAAUCUGUGAAUCUUCAUUUCUAACAUUGAUCCAACUUUUUAUAUUGGGUCAGUAUAUUUAGGAGUUAUUAAAAAUGGUAACCUACUUAACUUAAAUUUUAAAUUAUGGGGUUUACAUCAAAGCCAAUAUUUCACAAAUGAACUUUUAAGACAUUAUAAGGGUCACUAUUUUAGACAGUAAAUAUGGUUUCUUAACACCCACAAUGCAAUUAAUAGAUUAUCCAGAGAUGUGGACUUGAUUGCUACAUGGGAAUUACAUUCACAUUUUAUAUAAAGCAAAACUACAAACCUGUUAAUAUUGGAGUAUUAUCUUUUAACAUUUUUACUAUAAGACAGGUAAUGUUUGUGUCCAGGGAAAAAAGUUUUUAUGCAAAAUCUGCUUCAAUAUAGUCACAUUGAGAAAAUUCGUUUUAUUGUACUAGUGACUCAAAUUAAUAUCACUCUGAAAACUUGAUUGAACACUCCAGAAGUUUUUACUAAGGACAGUUUUUAUAAAACUGCCAUUGCUUCAAUUUACAAUUCUGUUUAAAAUGAAGGGAAUAUACUUUCACUAAUUUUUCCCUACUAUGCCAACAGAAGGUCUUAAGUAAAUACUCAACUUUAUAAUUAUGAGGUCGCUGAGAUAGUGUUCAGCACUUGCUAGUAAGUCAGUGAAUAUAAGAAAUCUACAGUGUUAAAAGUGUUAGAAACCAGUCGGUGCAAUGUGUAGCCUGAGUCCAUCCAAGAUGAUUGUGCCCAAUGUUGACAUCAUGUUAUGGAUAAAUAUGCACUGGAAAAUAAACCAAAGAAUCACAGUAUAUCUCAUACUUUUGUAAAGAGUAUGCUUUGUAGAUAAUUUUUCAGUUUUCCCAAAAGGCUGAUAGAUUUCAAUAUUUUAAUUACAUCCAUGUAAUUCUGAGUUUGCAGAGGUAACCUAACCAACUACUAUUAUGUUUUAGUACUAAGGAUAUACAUUUCAAUAAAAUUAUUGAAAUGCA